RNAcentral lists this ribosomal RNA (428 nucleotides) under uncultured bacterium. RNAcentral describes it as "bacterial SSU rRNA". It matches the Rfam family "Bacterial small subunit ribosomal RNA", at positions 354 to 796 of the family's 1533-position model. The record is from RNAcentral.
AUUAGGAAUCUUGCACAAUGGGCGAAAGCCUGAUGCAGCGACGCCGCGUGACUGAUGAAGUCUUUCGGGAUGUAAAGGUCUUUUUUGGGGGAAGAAGGAUGUGACGGUACCCCAAGAAUAAGCCCCGGCUAACUACGUGCCAGCAGCCGCGGUAAUACGUAGGGGGCGAGCGUUGUCCGAAUUUACUGGGCGUAAAGCGCGCGUAGGCGGGCUAUUAAGUUGUGGGUGAAAUCCCGGGGCUCAACUCCGGAACUGCCUGCAAAACUGGUAGCCUUGAGGUAUGGAGAGGGAAGUGGAAUUCCUGGUGUAGCGGUGAAAUGCGUAGAUAUCAGGAGGAACACCCAUGGCGAAGGCAGCUUCCUGGCCAUAUCCUGACGCUGAGGUGCGAAAGCUAGGGGAGCGAACGGGAUUAGAAACCCUUGUAGUCC